Molecule: unclassified non-coding RNA, 348 nt
Filed under: soil metagenome
Description: partial contains 5.8S ribosomal RNA, internal transcribed spacer 2, and large subunit ribosomal RNA
Rfam family: 5.8S ribosomal RNA (bases 1-120)
Source: RNAcentral
GAUGAAGAACGUAGCGGAAUGCGAUAAGUAAUGUGAAUUGCAGAAUUCAGUGAAUCAUCGAGUCUUUGAACGCACAUUGCGCCCCCUGGUAUUCCGGGGGGCAUGCCUGUCCGAGCGUCAUUGCCGCCCUCAAGCACGGCUUGUGUGUUGGGCCCCCGCCCCCCGGCUUCGGGGGGCGGGCCCGAAAGGCAGCGGCGGCACCGCGUCCGGUCCUCGAGCGUAUGGGGCUUCGUCACCCGCUCUGUAGGCCCGGCCGGCGCCCGCCGGCGACCCCAAUCAAUCUUUCCAGGUUGACCUCGGAUCAGGUAGGGAUACCCGCUGAACUUAAGCAUAUCAAUAAGCGGAGGA